GCGCAGCAGUCGAGAAUAGUCUACAAUGGACGAAAGUCUGAUAGUGCGACGCCGUGUGUGCGAUUAAUUCCUUCGGGGAUGUAAAGCACUUUUCUAUGAGAUAAAAAGCUCUUUAGGUUAAUAGCUUAUUGAGACGGAUAUUAUUAUAGGAAUAAGCUCCGGCUAACUCCGUGCCAGCAGCCGCGGUAAUACGGAAGGAGACGAGCGUUGUCCGGAUUUACUAGGCGUAAAGGGCUAGUAGGCGACUAAUUAAGUUAUAUGUUAAAUCCCACGGCUCAACUGUGGUCCUGCAUGUAAUACUGGUUAGAUAGAGUAACUGUAGAGGAAGGCAGAAUUCCUGGAGUAGCGGUGGAAUGCGCAGAUA
This 364-nucleotide ribosomal RNA is filed under the name uncultured microorganism. RNAcentral describes it as "bacterial SSU rRNA". It matches the Rfam family "Bacterial small subunit ribosomal RNA", at positions 346 to 696 of the family's 1533-position model. The record is from RNAcentral.